UGGGGAAUUUUGGACAAUGGGCGAAAGCCUGAUCCAGCAAUGCCGCGUGUGUGAAGAAGGCCUUCGGGUUGUAAAGCACUUUUGUCCGGAAAGAAGUCCUUGGCUCUAAUACAGUCGGGGGAUGACGGUACCGGAAGAAUAAGCACCGGCUAACUACGUGCCAGCAGCCGCGGUAAUACGUAGGGUGCAAGCGUUAAUCGGAAUUACUGGGCGUAAAGCGUGCGCAGGCGGUUUGCUAAGACCGAUGUGAAAUCCCCGGGCUCAACCUGGGGAACUGCAUUGGUGACUGGCAGGCUAGAGUAUGGCAGAGGGGGGUAGAAUUCCACGUGUAGCAGUGAAAUGCGUAGAGAUGUGGAGGAAUACCGAUGGCGAAGGCAGCCCCCUGGGCCAAAUACUGACGCUCAUGCACGAAAAGCGUGGGGGAGCAAAACAGGAUUAGAUACCCUGGUAGUCCACGCCCUAAAACGAUGUCAACUAGUUGUUGGGGAUUCAUUUCCUUAGUAACGUAGCUAACGCGUGAAAGUUGACCGCCUGGGGAGUACGGUCGCAAAGAUUAAAAACUCAAAGGAAUUGACGGGGUCAU
This 583-nucleotide ribosomal RNA is filed under the name uncultured bacterium. Its description in RNAcentral is "partial 16S ribosomal RNA". It matches the Rfam family "Bacterial small subunit ribosomal RNA", at positions 355 to 922 of the family's 1533-position model. The record is from RNAcentral.